GAUGAACGCUGGCGGCGUGCUUAACACAUGCAAGUCGAACGAAGCAUUUAAGACAGAUUACUUCGGUUUGAAGUCUUUUAUGACUAAGUGGCGGACGGGUGAGUAACGCGUGGGUAACCUGCCUCAUACAGGGGGAUAGCAGCUGGAAACGGCUGGUAAUACCGCAUAAGCGCACAGUACCACAUGGUACAGUGUGAAAAACUCCGGUGGUAUGAGAUGGACCCGCGUCUGAUUAGCUUGUUGGCGGGGUAACGGCCCACCAAGGCGACGAUCAGUAGCCGACCUGAGAGGGUGACCGGCCACAUUGGGACUGAGACACGGCCCAGACUCCUACGGGAGGCAGCAGUGGGGAAUAUUGCACAAUGGAGGAAACUCUGAUGCAGCGACGCCGCGUGAGUGAAGAAGUAGUUCGCUAUGUAAAGCUCUAUCAGCAGGGAAGAUAGUGACGGUACCUGACUAAGAAGCUCCGGCUAAAUACGUG
This 481-nucleotide ribosomal RNA is filed under the name uncultured bacterium. Its description in RNAcentral is "partial 16S ribosomal RNA". It matches the Rfam family "Bacterial small subunit ribosomal RNA", at positions 28 to 507 of the family's 1533-position model. The record is from RNAcentral.